This 385-nucleotide transfer-messenger RNA is filed under the name uncultured Acidimicrobiales bacterium. Its description in RNAcentral is "transfer-messenger RNA, SsrA". It matches the Rfam family "transfer-messenger RNA". Rfam says of the family: Bacterial tmRNA, also known as 10Sa RNA or SsrA, is named for its dual tRNA and mRNA-like properties. Its role is to liberate the mRNA from a stalled ribosome. To accomplish this part of the tmRNA is used as a reading frame that ends in a translation stop signal. The record is from RNAcentral. Lineage: Bacteria; Bacillati; Actinomycetota; Acidimicrobiia; Acidimicrobiales. RNAcentral also lists the same sequence under 2 other names.
GGGGCUGAUCGGUUUCGACGGUGAGGCAGGAAUCCGUUUGCGUGCGACCCGAGUGGCUCAGACUCGUUAAACGGGGCAAAAAACAGAGACGCCAACAGCGAUCUCGCUCUCGCCGCCUGAUCUAGAUCAGGUAGUAGAGAGUCAUAGCGACCAGCAAUGGCACGCAGGGCCAACUCACCGCAGCCCGGUAACAGAAGCGGAGGGUGACGGUCGGAAAGACGACUGACGGUGUGAAAGAACACUGGCAUCGGGGAAAGACCCGGCGGCGGGGCUUCGGCCCGUGCGACCCGGCGUUGUCCUAGCCGUUCGAGGGACAAACCGGGAAUGGUCGUAUCACGUGCGGUGACCCUUCAGCGGACGAGGGUUCGAUUCCCUCCAGCUCCAC